Molecule: ribosomal RNA, 461 nt
Filed under: uncultured bacterium
Lineage: Bacteria
Description: bacterial SSU rRNA
Rfam family: Bacterial small subunit ribosomal RNA
Source: RNAcentral
CUGGCGGCGUGCUUCAUACAUGCAAGUCGAACGAGAAAUCACCUUCGGGUGGUGGAAAGUGGCGGACGGGUGAGUAAAAUGUAGAGAAUCUGCCCUAGAGAGUGGGACAACAGAGGGAAACUUCUGCUAAUACCGCAUAUGCGCGUAGCUGAGAUGCUAUUCGUGAAGACUCCGGUGCUCUGGGAUGAGUCUGCAUCUGAUUAGCUAGUUGGCGGUGUAAUGGACCACCAAGGCGACGAUCAGUAGCUGGUUUGAGAGGAUGAUCAGCCACAAUGGGACUGAGACACGGCCCAUACUCCUACGGGAGGCAGCAGUAGGGAAUUUUGCGCAAUGGGCGAAAGCCUGACGCAGCAACGCCGCGUGACCGAUGAAGCCCUUCGGGGUGUAAAGGUCUGUCAGUGGGGACGAAACUUGACGGUACCCACAGAGGAAGCAUCGGCUAACUCCGUGCCAGCAGCGGC